RNAcentral lists this ribosomal RNA (399 nucleotides) under uncultured bacterium. RNAcentral describes it as "bacterial SSU rRNA". It matches the Rfam family "Bacterial small subunit ribosomal RNA", at positions 359 to 773 of the family's 1533-position model. The record is from RNAcentral.
GAAUAUUGCACAAUGGGGGAAACCCUGAUGCAGCGACGCCGCGCGAGUGAAGAAGUAUCUCGGUAUGUAAAGCUCUGUCAGCAGGGAAGAAAUCAUGACGGUACCUGACCAAGAAGCCCCGGCUAACUACGUGCCAGCAGCCGCGGUAAUACGUAGGGGGCAAGCGUUAUCCGGAUUUACUGGGUGUAAAGGGAGCGUAGACGGCAGCGCAAGUCUGGAGUGAAAUGCCGGGGCCCAACCCCGGAACUGCUUUGGAAACUGUGCAGCUCGAGUGCAGGAGAGGUAAGCGGAAUUCCUAGUGUAACGGUGAAAUGCGUAGAUAUUAGGAGGAACACCAGUGGCGAAGGCGGCUUACUGGACUGUAACUGACGUUGAGGCUCGAAAGCGUGGGGAGCAAAC